UACGUAGGGGGCAAGCGUUGUCCGGAUUUAUUGGGCGUAAAGAGCUCGUAGGUGGUUCGGUAAGUCGGAUGUGAAAUCUCCAGGCUCAACCUGGAGGGGUCAUUCGAUACUGCCGUGACUAGAGUUCGGUAGGGGAGUGUGGAAUUCCUGGUGGAGCGGUGAAAUGCGCAGAUAUCAGGAGGAACACCCGUAGCGAAGGCGGCACUCUGGGCCGAUACUGACACUGAGGAGCGAAAGCGUGGAGAGCGAACAGG
RNAcentral lists this ribosomal RNA (254 nucleotides) under uncultured bacterium. RNAcentral's name for it is "partial 16S ribosomal RNA". It matches the Rfam family "Bacterial small subunit ribosomal RNA", at positions 524 to 776 of the family's 1533-position model. The record is from RNAcentral.